RNAcentral lists this ribosomal RNA (756 nucleotides) under Neisseria subflava. RNAcentral's name for it is "bacterial SSU rRNA". It matches the Rfam family "Bacterial small subunit ribosomal RNA", at positions 28 to 776 of the family's 1533-position model. Lineage: Bacteria; Pseudomonadati; Pseudomonadota; Betaproteobacteria; Neisseriales; Neisseriaceae. The record is from RNAcentral.
GACGAACGCUGGCGGCGUGCCUAAUACAUGCAAGUAGAACGCUGAAGGAGGAGCUUGCUCUUUCCGGAUGAGUUGCGAACGGGUGAGUAAUAUAUCGGAACGUACCGAGUAAUGGGGGAUAACUAAUCGAAAGAUUAGCUAAUACCGCAUAUUCUCUGAGGAGGAAAGCAGGGGACCUUCGGGCCUUGCGUUAUUCGAGCGGCCGAUAUCUGAUUAGCUAGUUGGUGGGGUAAAGGCCUACCAAGGCGACGAUCAGUAGCGGGUCUGAGAGGAUGAUCCGCCACACUGGGACUGAGACACGGCCCAGACUCCUACGGGAGGCAGCAGUGGGGAAUUUUGGACAAUGGGCGCAAGCCUGAUCCAGCCAUGCCGCGUGUCUGAAGAAGGCCUUCGGGUUGUAAAGGACUUUUGUCAGGGAAGAAAAGGCUGUUGCUAAUAUCGACAGCUGAUGACGGUACCUGAAGAAUAAGCACCGGCUAACUACGUGCCAGCAGCCGCGGUAAUACGUAGGGUGCGAGCGUUAAUCGGAAUUACUGGGCGUAAAGCGAGCGCAGACGGUUACUUAAGCAGGAUGUGAAAUCCCCGGGCUCAACCUGGGAACUGCGUUCUGAACUGGGUGACUAGAGUGUGUCAGAGGGAGGUAGAAUUCCACGUGUAGCAGUGAAAUGCGUAGAGAUGUGGAGGAAUACCGAUGGCGAAGGCAGCCUCCUGGGACAACACUGACGUUCAUGCUCGAAAGCGUGGGUAGCAAACAGG